GACGAACGCUGGCGGCGUGCCUAAUACAUGCAAGUUGAGCGAUGAAGAUUGGUGCUUGCACCAAUUUGAAGAGCAGCGAACGGGUGAGUAACGCGUGGGGAAUCUGCCUUUGAGCGGGGGACAACAUUUGGAAACGAAUGCUAAUACCUCAUAACAACUUUAAACAUAAGUUAUAAGUUUGAAAGAUGCAAUUGCAUCACUCAAAGAUGAUCCCGCGUUGUAUGAGCUAGUUGGUGGGGUAACGGCUCACCAAGGCGAUGAUACAUAGCCGAGCUGAGAGGAGGGGCGGCGACACUGGACCGGAGACAAGGUACAGACGCCUACGGGAGGAAGCAGUGGGGAAGGUGCCGCAAGGGGCGAGAGCCUGACGGAGCAAGGCCGGGUGAGUGAUGACGGCCGUGGGGUGGUAAAAAUCUGUGAUCCGGGACGAAAAGGCAGAGUGCGAAGAACAAACUGCAUUGACGGUAACGGAAAAGCAAGCCACGGCUAACUACGUG
RNAcentral lists this ribosomal RNA (497 nucleotides) under uncultured bacterium. RNAcentral describes it as "partial 16S ribosomal RNA". It matches the Rfam family "Bacterial small subunit ribosomal RNA", at positions 28 to 507 of the family's 1533-position model. The record is from RNAcentral.